CCUACGUGAGGCUGCAGUGGGGAAUAUUGCGCAAUGUGCGAAAGCCUGACGCAGCGACGCCGCGUGAGGGAUGAAGGUCUUCGGAUCGUAAACCUCUGUCAGCAGGGAAGAACGGUCACUGUGCUAAUCAGCAAUGAAUUGACGGUACCUGCAAAGGAAGCACCGGAUAACUCCGUGCCAGCAGCCGCGGUAAUACGGAGGGUGCGAGCGUUAAUCGGAAUUACUGGGCGUAAAGCGCUCGUAGGCGGUAUGUCAAGUCAAGGGUGAAAUCCCCGCGCUCAACGUGGGAACUGCCUUUGAAACUGGCAAACUGGAGUGUGUGAGAGGAUAGUGGAAUUCCAGGUGUAGGAGUGAAAUCCGUAGAUAUCUGGAGGAACAUCAGUGGCGAAGGCGACUAUCUGGCACAUAACUGACGCUGAGGAGCGAAAGCGUGGGUAGCAAACAGGAUUAGAUACCCGGGUAGUC
This 465-nucleotide ribosomal RNA is filed under the name uncultured bacterium. Its description in RNAcentral is "partial 16S ribosomal RNA". It matches the Rfam family "Bacterial small subunit ribosomal RNA", at positions 338 to 795 of the family's 1533-position model. The record is from RNAcentral.